CGGCGAACGGGUGAGCAAUAUGUUGGAACCUGCCCCGAACUCAGGGAUAUCUCGUCGAAAGACGAGUUAAUACCGGAUGGUCCCGCAAGGGUAAAGCUUUUGCGGUUCGGGAGGGGCCUACAGCCUAUCAGCUAGUUGGUAAGGUAACGGCUUACCAAGGCGAUGACGGGUAGCUGGUCUGAGAGGAUGAUCAGCCACAGGGGAACUGAGACACGGUCCCCACUCCUACGGGAGGCAGCAGUAGGGAAUCUUCCGCAAUGGGCGAAAGCCUGACGGAGCGACACCGCGUGAACGAUGAAGGUCGUAAGAUCGUAAAGUUCUUUUCUGAGGGAAUAAUUCUGAAGGUACCUUAGGAAUAAGUAACUGCUAACUACGUGCCAGCAGCAGCGGUAAUACGUAGGUUACAAACGUUAUCCGGAAUCAUUGGGCGUAAAGCGUCCGCAGGUGGCGAAUUAAGUCGGGUGUUAAAUGUUAUGGCCUAACCAUAACGCUGCAUUCGAUACUGGUUUGCUUGAGACUUCCAGAGGUAAACGGAAUUCUGUGUGUAGGGGUAAAAUCCGUAGAUAUACAGAAGAACACCAAAAGCGAAAGCAGUUUACUGGGGAAGUUCUGACACUCAUGGACGAAAGCGUAGGUAGCAAACAGGAUUAGAUACCCUGGUAGUCUACGCCGUAAACUUUGGAUACUAGGUGUUAGAGGGCUCGAUCUCUCUAGUGCUAAAGCUAACGCAUUAAGUAUCCCGCCUGGGUAGUACGAACGCAAGUUUAAAACUCAAAGGAAUAGACAGGGACCCACACAAGCGGUGGAGCAUCUGGUUUAAUUCG
Molecule: ribosomal RNA, 824 nt
Filed under: uncultured bacterium
Lineage: Bacteria
Description: bacterial SSU rRNA
Rfam family: Bacterial small subunit ribosomal RNA
Source: RNAcentral